Molecule: ribosomal RNA, 696 nt
Filed under: Triticum aestivum (bread wheat)
Lineage: Eukaryota; Viridiplantae; Streptophyta; Magnoliopsida; Poales; Poaceae
Description: partial small subunit ribosomal RNA
Source: RNAcentral
AUGUGGGAGGAAUGCUUGCCUCAUAUUGAAUUUGCUUAUAAUCGUUCAUUGCAUUCUACUACUAAGAUGUGCCCUUUUGAAGUUGUGUAUGGUUUCCUACCUCGUGCACCUAUUGAUUUGUUGCCUCUUCCAUCUUCGGAGAAGGUUAAUUUUGAUGCUAAACAACGUGCUGAAUUGAUUUUAAAAAUGCAUGAGUUAACUAAGGAAAACAUUGAGCGCAUGAAUGCUAAAUAUAAACUUGCUGGAGAUAAGGGUAGAAAACAUGUUGUGUUUGCACCUGGAGAUCUUGUUUGGUUACAUUUGCGUAAGGAUAGAUUUCCUGAUUUGCGCAAAUCAAAGUUAAUGCCACGUGCUGAUGGUCCCUUUAAGGUGUUAGAGAAAAUAAAUGAUAAUGCAUAUAAACUUGAGCUACCUGCAAAUUUUGGGGUUAGUCCCACUUUUAACAUUGCAGAUUUGAAGCCUUAUUUGGGUGAGGAAGAUGAACUUCCGUCGAGGACGACUUCAUUUCAAGAAGGGGAGGAUGAUGAGGACAUCAAUACAAUUGUUACACCCACAGCCCCUGCUGCUAUACAUACUGGACCAAUUACUAGAGCUCGUGCACGCCAACUAAAUUACCAGGAAACAGACCCUCGUGGUCAGGUUGAUCGUGCUCCGGCGUGGUCAAUAACCUCUCGGAGUUGGUUUAGCGAUUGCUAA